UGAGUGAGCAUGUGAAUACACACACAUACACACAUAUCAUCCACCGGCUGUCUAAAAGAGUGCCACCUUUUGUGAACGAAGCAUAUUUUCUUUGUUCACAUAUUUUAAUAACUUUUCUACACCCUUAUUUCUUUUAAUUAAAAGGAUUUAUGUAUUCUUUUACAUAUGGAAUUGUCUUGACUUAAUUUGGAGAAAAAUUUCACAUGGUUAUGAUUUAGAAUUAUUAGCCCAGUAGUCUGUAAAGCCAAGCUCAAGAAAAUGCAAAAAAGUGGUGUCAUAAACACCAUAUUCUCUGAAUUUGGUUAAUUUCUUUUUUUCUAAAUCUAACACAAUUGUAAACUCCUAGGUAAAAAGGGAAACCAUAAUAUAAAUUAGAGCUGAAAAGUAAUAAAAAUACUACAUAUCAAAAUUUGUGGGGAAAAGCAAAAGUGAUAUCUUGAAGGAAAAUUAUAGGUAGAAUAAAACUAAAGGAAGGAAAUAAUCAAAUGAAAAGCAGAAAUUGAUGAAACGAUGAAGAUUAUAGAUCCAGGACAAAAGCUGAUUCUCUGAAAGUAAUAAUAAAAUAGAUAUUUUUGACAAUAGUUGUCAUAAAAAAGAGAAAUAGCACAAAUUUGAAAAUACAGGAUAACAGAUUAUAGCACAGUUAUAACAAAGAUUACAAAGAGAUCCUAUAAGAAUGUCAUCCUAUUACAUUUUAAAACUGGCCAGGUGCAGUGGCUCACGCCUGUAAUCCCAGCGCUUUGGAAGGCUGAAGCAGGAGAGUUGCUUAAGGCCAGGUGCUCAAGACCAGCGUGGGCAACAUAGCAAGACUCUGUCGCUACCAAAAAAAAAAAAAAAAUUAAAAAUUAGUCAGGUGUGGUGGCACAUGCCUGUUGUCUCAGCUACUGGGAAGGCUGAGGUGGAAGGAUCACUUGAGCCCAGGAAUUCAAGGCUGAGGAUGAGCUAGGAUGGUGCCACUGCACUCAGCCUGGAUGACACGAUGAAACCCUGUUUCCAAGAAACAAACAAACAAACAAUUCUCACUUAAGAAAACGGGGUUUCACCAUGUUGGCCAGGCAUGUCUUGAACUCCUGACCUCAAGUGAUCCACCCACCUCCGCCUUCCAUAGUGCUGGGAUUACAGGCGUGAGCCAGCAUGCCUGGCCGCCUUUCUCUUUUCUUCAGCAUUUCCCUUGAGUACCAGUUACUGCAAAGACCCCUGGAGUCGGGGUCCAUCCUGGGUCUUGCAGGGACUGAUUCUGUCUGGUGUUGGGCUAUGCACAGGUGACUGGUGGAUUCCAGGGUUCUCCCCACAUCUGCUUCCGUUGAACGCUGUCAAGGCAGCCAUCCAAAGGCCCUGGUCCUCUCCAUGUGUAGCGGGAGGGUCAGUCUGCAUCCUUUCCUUCUAGACCUUACAGCUUUUGCAUUUUAAAACUCGAGGGACAAUAGUCAUCUCCUAAAAAUAGCAGCAGUGACAUAGCUCCGCAGUCAGUUUUGCUGGCACUGGGAAUUCAGCUUUUGUCUCUGGUGUUAGAUAAUGGGCAGGUUUCUAGGAAAUGAAUUCCAUGUAGAGCCGGGUUCAGUUGACCUCACUGGAGACCUUGACCCCACCUUGCGGCACCGUGGGGUCCUUCAGUCAUCUCCCUGCUGACUUCCAUGCUUUGGAGGGUCCAGGUCUUUGGGGGACGUGUUUCCUUGCGAGUGCAAAGGCCCUAGACACAUAAGAGUCAUGUUUUGGGAAGCUGGCACGGCCUGGGAUGGGCCCUCAGGAGUGAGGGAAGGGGCAGUGCCUUGUCACCUGCAUGUCCUCUGUUGAAGAGUGAACUGCACCAGGCUGUCUCUGAGGCUCUUUCACACACUGUGAUGGGUGGAAGGCCACUUCCAGCUGCAAGUACAGGUCCUGUAGGCAGGCAGCUCAUUCUGGUUUGCCUGGGACUUUCCUGUUUUUUGUUUUUAGCACUGAAAAUCCUGCAUCCUGGGAAACCCCUCUGUCCCCAGGGAACUGGGAUAGUCACCCCGCCUAUGAGCAAGGCCACCCUUAGGCUGAGGCUGCACACAGAGUGCUGCCUAAGAGAAGCUGAAGCACCCACCAACCACAGAAUUUCUCCUUUAGCACUAUCUGGCCCCUGACUUCGGAGGAAAGCAGCGUGUGAAGUUACAUUAUAUGGAAGGAAGCAUUGGACUAAACUUAGUCCCUUAUACUGCGUUCUUUUAUCACACAAGAAAGCCAUCACCCAGCCAGGGGCAGGGCCCACACGGGGACACAGAAGAGAUAGAUCUUCUUGGGAGGAUUUUGGGAGAUAGGAGAGCCCUUGAUCAGAGAGGGCCCAUGGGGUGGAGGGUGGGACUGAAUUGGAGCUGGGGAAAAGUAGAUUAAGUACAUUUCUUGAAAAAAUUCGGUUACUUAAGAGAUGCUAGAGAAUCUAUGGUCCAUUUCUGUUUAAUAGAAAUCAUCAUUUUUAAAUUUUAUCAAGUGUGAACAAAUUUGAACCAUUGGGUUUGUUUAUGAGGCACAAGUGUUUUGAGUUAAUUUUGAAAAACCCCAAACCUAUCUCAUUUGUUAGAGACAGUGACUUACAGUGACUCUACUAAUAAUUUUAUUGGGUCUAAGAAUAUUUAAGAUACUCUUGGCUGGGCGCAGUGGCUCAUGCCUCUAAUCCCCCAGCGCUUUGAGGGGCUGAGGUGGGUGGAUUGCCUGAGCCCAGGAGUUCAAUACCAGGCUGGGCAACAUGGCAAAACCCCAUCUCUACAAAAAAAUACAAAAGUUUUCUGGUCAUGUGGCAUGCAUCUGUAAUCCCAGUCACACAGGAGGCUGAGGCUGGAGAGUCACCUGAGCCCAGGAAGUCAAGGCUGCAGUGAGUGGUGAUCAUGCCACUGCACUGUAGUCUGGGCAAGGGAAGUGAUACUGUGUCUCAAAAAAGAAAAAGAAAAAAAAAAA
Long non-coding RNA from Macaca fascicularis (crab-eating macaque), 2916 nucleotides. Lineage: Eukaryota; Metazoa; Chordata; Mammalia; Primates; Cercopithecidae. The record is from Ensembl.